GACGAACGCUGGCGGCGUGCUUAACACAUGCAAGUCGAACGGAAAGGCCUGCUUUCCCUUGUGGAUUGCGGGUACUCGAGUGGCGAACGGGUGAGUAACACGUGAGUGAUCUGCCCCCAACUUGGGUAUAAGCCUGGGAAACUGGGUCUAAUUCCCGAUAGGACUGCAGGGUGGUGCCUGUGGUGGAAAACGAUUUUCUAGUGGUUGGGGAUGAGCUCGCGGCCUAUCAGCUUGUUGGUGGGGUAAUGGCCUACCAAGGCGGCGACGGGUAGCCGGCCUGAGAGGGUGGACGGCCACAUUGGGACUGAGAUACGGCCCAGACUCCUACGGGAGGCAGCAGUGGGGAAUAUUGCACAAUGGGCGGAAGCCUGAUGCAGCGACGCCGCGUGGGGGAUGACGGCCUUCGGGUUGUAAACUCCUUUCGACCGCGAGGAAGCCACCUGGUUGGAAGGGUGGACGGUAGUGGUAGAAGAAGCACCGGCUAACUACGUG
RNAcentral lists this ribosomal RNA (492 nucleotides) under uncultured bacterium. RNAcentral's name for it is "partial 16S ribosomal RNA". It matches the Rfam family "Bacterial small subunit ribosomal RNA", at positions 28 to 507 of the family's 1533-position model. The record is from RNAcentral.